GUAAGCUAAAUAAUUACAAAAAUACUUUGCAAAUGCAAACUGCAACGGACACACGCAGUGACAGCCGAGAACAAUAUAUACAUCGUAAAUCCUGUUUACAACAGGCUUGGGAAAGGGUGAAUGUUUGGUUUCUAAAUUGUUGAAAGCUUGUAUAACCUUCUGGGACACCUCUAGGAUGGACUCUAAAUUGUCUUCUCUCUGCAACUAUUUUUUACAUUAAAACCCAAAAUAACAACAACAAAAAAUUACAAGUCUUGAUGUUGUGGCUCAGACACCAAAUUCCCUAUAAAAUUAAAAGUAAAGGAUGAGAUGAGAGAAAUUUUGGCUUAGAGAAACACUGGUUGAGAAAGGAAAGAAAAUAUUGCUCACUUUUCCCUUAUUUCUUCUAUGUAAAUAAAUUUCCCUAUACAAUUUAUAUGGUCUUACUUUAAGUGUAUGGGAUCUUUAGAAAUCAUAGAACGCUAAGAAUAUUCGUAUGUGUAAAUGGGUACUCACUUCACAUAGCAGGUACUCAAUAAAUAUUAGCUACAAAAGAUAAAAGCAAACUAUAAGGCAUCUUUGUAGACCAUUUGGCCAACCAUCCUGCUGUUCAGAGCCGAGGAGCUGAGGCCUAGGUGGUUGGAAGACUUACACAGCUCCUACACGGGCCUGCUGAAAGUCUGGGCUGCAACUCGUUUCUUCUUACAGGUUCAGAGACUCCUCUGGCUCAUCACUGUCACAGAACCGCACUGGGCCUCAGUUCAUCACUGGAUAUCAAGAGCACCUCUACCUGCCCAGGGAUUAUCCAUCAAAGGUCAACAUUUCAACAUUAUGGAAAAAGAGAUUUUGGAGUGAGACAUACUUGAAUGAAAAUUCCAAUUCUACUUCUUAUUAGCCAUGUGAUCUUAGGCAAGUUAUUUUCCUGAUCUGAGUUAGUUUUCUUAUAUGUAAAACAGAAAUAGUAAUACCUUGUUUUGAAAACUGUUACAAUAUUAAAAGAGAUGGUAUAUAUCAAGGCAUUUUAAAAUAGUGUUAUCCAAUAAAUAUCCUUUCUGGCAUCAUGUUCCGAAAAAUGAUUAUUGUUGUCAUCCACAAAUAUCUGUUAAUUCUGUAC
This 1093-nucleotide long non-coding RNA is filed under the name Callithrix jacchus (white-tufted-ear marmoset). RNAcentral's name for it is "lncRNA (ENSCJAG00000058060.2)". The record is from RNAcentral. Lineage: Eukaryota; Metazoa; Chordata; Mammalia; Primates; Cebidae.